This 468-nucleotide ribosomal RNA is filed under the name uncultured bacterium. RNAcentral describes it as "partial 16S ribosomal RNA". It matches the Rfam family "Bacterial small subunit ribosomal RNA", at positions 28 to 507 of the family's 1533-position model. The record is from RNAcentral.
GACGAACGCUGGCGGCGUGCUUAACACAUGCAAGUCGAACGGAAAGGCCCUGCUUUUGUGGUGUGCUCGAGUGGCGAACGGGUUAGUAACACGUGAGUAACCUUCCCUUGACUUUUGUAUAUCUUCACGAAACUGGGGCUACUACCGGAUAGGAGCUCCUGCUGCGUGGUAGGGCUUGGAAAGUUUCGGCGGUUGGGGAUGUACUCGCGGCUUAUCAGUUUGUUAGUUGGGUAGUGGCUUACCAAGCCUUUGCACGAUAACCGACCUGAGAGGGUGACCGGCGGACUUGGGAACGAGAGACGGCCCAGACUGCUACGGGGGGCAGCAGUCGGGAAUAUUGCACAGUGAGCGGAAGGGGGAGACAGCCACGCCGGGGGCGUGAUGCCGGAAUUCGGGUAAUGAACAGCUGUAGGCUGUGACGAAGCGUGAGUGACGGUAAUGGGUAAAGAAGCACCGGCUAACUACGUG